UACGUAGGGUGCAAGCGUUGUCCGGAAUUAUUGGGCGUAAAGAGCUCGUAGGCGGUUUGUCGCGUCUGCUGUGAAAACUCGGGGCUUAACCCCGGGCCUGCAGUGGGUACGGGCAGACUAGAGUGCGGUAGGGGAGACUGGAAUUCCUGGUGUAGCGGUGAAAUGCGCAGAUAUCAGGAGGAACACCGGUGGCGAAGGCGGGUCUCUGGGCCACUACUGACGCUGAGAAGCGAAAGCAUGGGGAGCGAACAGG
RNAcentral lists this ribosomal RNA (253 nucleotides) under uncultured bacterium. Its description in RNAcentral is "partial 16S ribosomal RNA". It matches the Rfam family "Bacterial small subunit ribosomal RNA", at positions 524 to 776 of the family's 1533-position model. The record is from RNAcentral.